RNAcentral lists this ribosomal RNA (253 nucleotides) under uncultured bacterium. RNAcentral describes it as "partial 16S ribosomal RNA". It matches the Rfam family "Bacterial small subunit ribosomal RNA", at positions 524 to 776 of the family's 1533-position model. The record is from RNAcentral.
AACGUAGGGGACGAGCGUUAUCCGGAUUUACUGGGUUUAAAGGGUGCGUAGGCGGCUAAGUAAGUCAGGAGUGAAAGUUUGCGGCUCAACCGUAAAAUUGCUUUUGAUACUGCAUAGCUAGAAUUAGGAUGAGGUCAGCGGAAUGUGGCAUGUAGCGGUGAAAUGCAUAGAUAUGCCAUAGAACACCAAUUGCGAAGGCAGCUGGCUAGACCUGGAUUGACGCUGAGGCACGAAAGCGUGGGGAGCGAACAGG